This 253-nucleotide ribosomal RNA is filed under the name uncultured bacterium. RNAcentral describes it as "partial 16S ribosomal RNA". It matches the Rfam family "Bacterial small subunit ribosomal RNA", at positions 524 to 776 of the family's 1533-position model. The record is from RNAcentral.
UACGGGGGGAGCAAGCGUUGUUCGGAUUUACUGGGCGUAAAGGGCGCGUAGGCGGUAGCACAAGUCAGUUGUGAAAUCUCCGGGCUUAACUCGGAAAGGUCAACUGAUACUGUGCGACUAGAGUGCAGAAGGGGCAACUGGAAUUCUCGGUGUAGCGGUGAAAUGCGCAGAUAUCAGGAAGAACGCCUAUGGCGAAGGCAGCACUCUGGGACGGUACUGACGCUGAGACGCGAAAGCGUGGGGAGCGAACAGG